UUCUCAAAACCAAAGUACAUGUAGGUGCUUCUCUAUCUUUCCGAUCAGUGUAGGGUUAUCAGAUUUAGCAGGAAAAAGAAGAAAAGGACUCCCAAUUAAAUUUGAAUUUCAAAUGAAAAAUAAGUAAUUAUUUUUAAUAUAAGAAUGUUUCAUGCAACAGUUGGGACAUACUUACACCAAAAAACACUUACUUAUUUCUCUGCAAUUGAAAUUUAACAAGGAGUCCUAUAUUUUAUCUGGCCACCUGAGACCAGUCCACCCUGUUGAACAUGGAAAUGUCUUUCAAAUAAAAAGUGAGAAGAGUGAAAAUACUAAUAAAAUGUAUCUAAUGACUAUAAAACUUCUUAAAAGCCUACCCAGAAGACAGCUUUAGCAGGACCUUCAGGGUUUGGUUAAAGCCAAAGGUUCGAAUCCUGCUCUGUCAUCACCAAGCUGAGUAACUUAGACACACUGUCAAUGUAUGGAAUGUGAAGCUAGUCACCUCUAAAAGGAAACAAACAUCAUCUACACUGCAGGCAGGCCUGUCAAGAGAAUUCGCUGAGAUAAUGAACAUGAAAACACUUUGUACACCUAAAAGACUAGAAACAUGAGCAAUUGAUUAUCAUGUUGAAAUCUGCUUAAAGACUUUUGAAACUCAUAAUGAUAUUCAUUCAAAAUAUGAUAAAGCCUGCAUGUUUGCUCUUUUCAUGAUUUUUUUGGUCAUUUCGAUCAUCAAAUAGCAAAUAUGAAAAGGAAAAGAAAAUAUCCCAAAUUAAAAGGACCUUGGGCCUUAAGCUAUUGAUUGUGUCUGCUAAAAGCAUCCUGUUUAAUCUUCAAUGUUUUACCCGAAACCACAUCCCUUACUACCAUUUCUAGAUGGAUCAGCUCUAGAGAUGCUACCCUAUAUGUGAAUACGUAGUGGGGAAAACCUAUACUGGGGACCAGUUUUACUGGGUUCAAGGACUGGCUCUGCUGUUCACUCACUAUGUGCUUUAGGCAACUGCCUGCCCCUCUACACAUCAUGAUCCAUUGGACAAGAUAACCUCUGUGAGCUUUUUAAGCUCUAAACCCUAUGCUGGGGAUACUUUCACAUCUGAAAGUACCCUAUGUUCUUUCAUUGCCAGCCAGCACCUGAGAGAGAAUUUUUCUGAUCCCAUU
This 1137-nucleotide long non-coding RNA is filed under the name Sus scrofa (pig). RNAcentral describes it as "lncRNA (ENSSSCG00055001362.1)". Lineage: Eukaryota; Metazoa; Chordata; Mammalia; Artiodactyla; Suidae. The record is from RNAcentral.